This 253-nucleotide ribosomal RNA is filed under the name uncultured bacterium. Its description in RNAcentral is "partial 16S ribosomal RNA". It matches the Rfam family "Bacterial small subunit ribosomal RNA", at positions 524 to 776 of the family's 1533-position model. The record is from RNAcentral.
UACGUAGGGGGCAAGCGUUGUCCGGAAUCAUUGGGCGUAAAGAGCGUGUAGGCGGCCCGAUAAGUCCGCCGUGAAAGUCCAGGGCUCAACCCUGGAAUGCCGGUGGAAACUGUCGGGCUGGAGUCCGGAAGAGGCGAGUGGAAUUCCUGGUGUAGCGGUGAAAUGCGCAGAUAUCAGGAGGAACACCAAUGGCGAAGGCAGCUCGCUGGGACGUGACUGACGCUGAGACGCGAAAGCGUGGGGAGCGAACAGG